GAUGAAGAACGUAGCGAAAUGCGAUAAGUAGUGUGAAUUACAGAAUUCAGUGAAUCAUCGAAUCUUUGAACGCACAUUGCGCCCCUCGGUAUUCCGUGGGGCAUGCCUGUUCGAGCGUCAUUUAACCCCUCAAGCCUAGCUUGGUAUUGGGUGCUUGUCCCGCCUCUCGCGCGGCGACUCACCUCAAAGUCAUUGGCAGCCCGCAUCUCGCCGGCCGUGAGCGCAGCACAGACGCGCUCUUGGCAACGACGGAUCGGCUCUCCAAAAGCUUAUUUCAACCACUGACCUCGGAUCAGGUAGGGAUACCCGCUGAACUUAAGCAUAUCAAUAAGCGGAGGA
This 339-nucleotide unclassified non-coding RNA is filed under the name soil metagenome. RNAcentral describes it as "partial contains 5.8S ribosomal RNA, internal transcribed spacer 2, and large subunit ribosomal RNA". The stretch from base 1 to 120 matches the Rfam family "5.8S ribosomal RNA", at positions 35 to 154 of the family's 154-position model. The record is from RNAcentral.